Callithrix jacchus (white-tufted-ear marmoset) is the source of this 148-nucleotide unclassified non-coding RNA. It matches the Rfam family "Metazoan signal recognition particle RNA". Rfam says of the family: The signal recognition particle (SRP) is a universally conserved ribonucleoprotein. It is involved in the co-translational targeting of proteins to membranes. The eukaryotic SRP consists of a 300-nucleotide 7S RNA and six proteins: SRPs 72, 68, 54, 19, 14, and 9. The record is from Ensembl. Lineage: Eukaryota; Metazoa; Chordata; Mammalia; Primates; Cebidae.
GCCGGGCAUGGUGGUGCGUGCCUGUAGUCCCAGCUACUUGGGAGGCUGAGGCAGGGGAAUCGCUUGAACCUGGGAGAGAGAGAUUGCAGUGAGCUGACAUCACAUCACUGCACUCUAGCCUGGGUGACAGAGCAAGACUCUGUCUCAA